RNAcentral lists this long non-coding RNA (837 nucleotides) under Numida meleagris (helmeted guineafowl). RNAcentral describes it as "lncRNA (ENSNMEG00000021916.1)". The record is from RNAcentral. Lineage: Eukaryota; Metazoa; Chordata; Aves; Galliformes; Numididae.
GCUUUUGUCUGAGGACUACAGAUCUACUACUGAGCUAGUAAAGUCAAUAGCAUGGAGAUGAGUCCAGAUGUCAUCUAGACUGUUAAAGUAGUAGAAUAAGUCACCUGCACAGUGUUUGUUUAGCUACUGCUGUUCAGGUUCUCUUCCCAAUAUCUAGUCUGAAUGUUACCACAGGAUAUAAUAGGAGAAAAGAUUUGGAAAUUAAACCUGAGGGCAGCACUCAGGGACAAAGAAUGAGCUUUGGGUCUGUUUAGGCUUCUGGACUGUAUCCAGAGGUGCAAGACGAGAUGUGUAGAAGACCCUGAUCUGGCCUGAUCCAGAGUGGCCACAUGGACGCAAGUCACCAACAGGCAUGGGGACAAGGCCUCACUGGGUGAAGUAAACAACUUUAGCACUGCACAUGCAACAGUUGCCCAGGGUGUUUAGGCAUAUCUUCAGGACAGUCUGGAAUGUGAGAUCACUAGACAGCCUGAAAGAUGGGAGGUGGUGAGAGCUACUGCAGUGCUGAGAUUCAUGGAGAGGAACAAUUUCAUCCAGAAUUCUGAAGAGAUAUUUGGUGGUAAAAUGAUACCACUAAGUAGCAGGGAACCACAGGACUAGAAGGAGAUAGGAGCGAUGACGGUUAUUUUCCUUCCUGCAUGUUUAUUUCAGAGCAGCUGAGCAUCUACCUGAUGAAGUUACAUUCAUAAAACAAGCAGCCUGCACAUCACUCCAUUUCUGCAUUGCUUUGAGUAACUCCAUUUUCUUUACAAAUUAUAUAUUAGAAUUUGGAAAAUUUGGAAGAUUUGAACCAUCAUUUCCUUUACUUGUGAGGAACACACAUUUUUGUAUGCUUUG